Molecule: unclassified non-coding RNA, 338 nt
Filed under: soil metagenome
Description: partial contains 5.8S ribosomal RNA, internal transcribed spacer 2, and large subunit ribosomal RNA
Rfam family: 5.8S ribosomal RNA (bases 1-120)
Source: RNAcentral
GAUGAAGAACGCAGCGAAAUGCGAUACGUAGUGUGAAUUGCAGAAUUCAGUGAAUCAUCGAAUCUUUGAACGCACAUUGCACCUCUCGGUAUUCCGGGAGGUAUGCCUGUUCGAGCGUCAUUUGUACCCUCAAGCUCUGCUUGGUGUUGGGUGUUUGUUCCGCCUCUGUGUGUGAACUCGCCUCAAAACAAUUGGCAGCCGGCGUACUUGUUUCGGAGCGCAGCACAUUUGCGAUCCAGAUCAACGUACAGCGGCAUCCAAGAAGCCUUAUUUAACGCUCUUGACCUCGGAUCAGGUAGGGAUACCCGCUGAACUUAAGCAUAUCAAUAAGCGGAGGA